This 332-nucleotide ribosomal RNA is filed under the name uncultured bacterium. Its description in RNAcentral is "bacterial SSU rRNA". It matches the Rfam family "Bacterial small subunit ribosomal RNA", at positions 9 to 342 of the family's 1533-position model. The record is from RNAcentral.
GAGUUUGAUCCUGACUCAGGACGAACGCUGGCGGCGUGCCUAACACAUGCAAGUCGAACGGGACUUGCCCCUUCGGGGACAAGUUUAGUGGCGGACGGGUGAGUAACGCGUGAGCAACCUGCCUUUCAGUGGGGGACAACAGUUGGAAACGACUGCUAAUACCGCAUAACACUUAUUAGGGACAUCUCUGAUAAGUCAAAGAUUUAUUGCUGAAAGAUGGGCUCGCGUCUGAUUAGCUAGUUGGUGGGGUAACGCCUACCAAAGCGACGAUCCAUAGCCGGCCUGAGAGGUGAACGGCCACAUUGGGACUGAGACACGGCCCAGACUCCUAC